AUGCAUGAUGCACGUCGGGCAUCUCUUAGAGUAUUUUCACUGAAGAAGAAAGCCCCAAUGCUCGUGCAAAAACGUCGGCGUCAAGUGUUGCAGUUUAGCUUGCUUUACUCCACGGCUUUUUUGUGUCAAAUCGACCGCUACAUCU
Malus domestica (apple) is the source of this 145-nucleotide small nucleolar RNA. RefSeq annotates it as small nucleolar RNA snoR134. The record is from RefSeq and is a predicted model, not a curated record. Lineage: Eukaryota; Viridiplantae; Streptophyta; Magnoliopsida; Rosales; Rosaceae.